RNAcentral lists this ribosomal RNA (501 nucleotides) under uncultured bacterium. RNAcentral's name for it is "partial 16S ribosomal RNA". It matches the Rfam family "Bacterial small subunit ribosomal RNA", at positions 29 to 523 of the family's 1533-position model. The record is from RNAcentral.
AUUGAACGCUGGCGGCAUGCCUUACACAUGCAAGUCGAACGGCAGCACGGGUGCUUGCACCUGGUGGCGAGUGGCGAACGGGUGAGUAAUACAUCGGAACGUACCUUAUCGUGGGGGAUAACGCAGCGAAAGCUGUGCUAAUACCGCAUACGCCCUGAGGGGGAAAGCGGGGGAUCGAAAGACCUCGCGCGAUUAGAGCGGCCGAUGCCUGAUUAGCUUGUUGGUGGGGUAAAAGCCCACCAAGGCGACGAUCAGUAGCUGGUCUGAGAGGACGAUCAGCACCACUGGUACUGAGGCACGGCCCAGACUCCUACGGGAGGCAGCAGUGGGGAAUUUUGGACAAUGGGGGCAACCCUGAUCCAGCAAUGCCGCGUGAGUGAAGAAGGCCUUCGGGUUGUAAAGCUCUUUUGUCAGGGAAGAAACACCGGCUCUAACACAGUCCGGGAAUGACGGUACCUGAAGAAUAAGCACCGGCUAACUACGUGCCAGCAGCCGCCGCAG